RNAcentral lists this ribosomal RNA (522 nucleotides) under uncultured bacterium. RNAcentral describes it as "partial 16S ribosomal RNA". It matches the Rfam family "Bacterial small subunit ribosomal RNA", at positions 355 to 871 of the family's 1533-position model. The record is from RNAcentral.
UGGGGAAUUUUGGACAAUGGGCGAAAGCCUGAUCCAGCAAUGCCGCGUGUGUGAAGAAGGCCUUCGGGUUGUAAAGCACUUUUGUCCGGAAAGAAAUCCUUGGCUCUAAUACAGUCGGGGGAUGACGGUACCGGAAGAAUAAGCACCGGCUAACUACGUGCCAGCAGCCGCGGUAAUACGUAGGGUGCAAGCGUUAAUCGGAAUUACUGGGCGUAAAGCGUGCGCAGGCGGUUUGCUAAGACCGAUGUGAAAUCCCCGGGCUCAACCUGGGAACUGCAUUGGUGACUGGCAGGCUAGAGUAUGGCAGAGGGGGGUAGAAUUCCACGUGUAGCAGUGAAAUGCGUAGAGAUGUGGAGGAAUACCGAUGGCGAAGGCAGCCCCCUGGGCCAAUACUGACGCUCAUGCACGAAAGCGUGGGGAGCAAACAGGAUUAGAUACCCUGGUAGUCCACGCCCUAAACGAUGUCAACUAGUUGUUGGGGAUUCAUUCCUUAGUAACGUAGCUAACGCGUGAAGUUGACCG